ACUCCUACGGGAGGCAGCAGUGGGGAAUAUUGCACAAUGGGCGCAAGCCUGAUGCAGCCAUGCCGCGUGUGUGAAGAAGGCCUUCGGGUUGUAAAGCACUUUCAGUCGUGAGGAAGGUAGUGUAGUUAAUAGCUUUAGCUUGAUCUUUUUGAACGUUAGCGACAGAAGAAGCACCGGCUAACUCCGUGCCAGCAGCCGCGGUAAUACGGAGGGUGCGAGCGUUAAUCGGAAUUACUGGGCGUAAAGCGCAUGCAGGUGGUUUGUUAAGUCAGAUGUGAAAGCCCGGGGCUCAACCUCGGAAUUGCAUUUGAAACUGGCAGACUAGAGUACUGUAGAGGGGGGUAGAAUUUCAGGUGUAGCGGUGAAAUGCGUAGAGAUCUGAAGGAAAUACCGGUGGNGAAGGCGGCCCCCCCUGGACAGAUACUGACACUC
RNAcentral lists this ribosomal RNA (432 nucleotides) under uncultured bacterium. Its description in RNAcentral is "bacterial SSU rRNA". It matches the Rfam family "Bacterial small subunit ribosomal RNA", at positions 335 to 748 of the family's 1533-position model. The record is from RNAcentral.